CUCCGGUGAUGAUCCAGCCAUGCUAAUACUGAUGCACCAGGCAGGUGCACGACGUCUGUCUGGGUGUACAUGAGUGCAACUCACCUUCUCACGCUGAUGGUAUCAGUGUGUGCUGAGGAGA
Molecule: small nucleolar RNA, 121 nt
Filed under: Nothobranchius furzeri (turquoise killifish)
Lineage: Eukaryota; Metazoa; Chordata; Actinopteri; Cyprinodontiformes; Nothobranchiidae
Source: RNAcentral